This 756-nucleotide non-coding RNA is filed under the name Abrus expansivus. Lineage: Eukaryota; Metazoa; Arthropoda; Insecta; Hemiptera; Cicadellidae. The record is from RNAcentral.
CAAAAAAAUUUAAUUUUAGUUUUUUUAUUAAUUUAUUCAUUCAAUUAUAUGAAUAUCAUGUUUUAAUAAUCAUUUUUCAGUAAUUAGUAUUUUUAUUAUUAUUUUUUAAUCAAUAAAGGAAUUGAAUCAAAAAUAGAUUAAAUUUGUGCCAGCAUUCGCGGUUAGACAAUUUAUUAUAAUUAAUCUUAUAGAAUAUAGUUUUUAUUUGUUAGUGAAAUUAUUAUUAAAAUAUUUAGGUGGAAUUUAUUUAUUGAAAUAAAUUUCUUAAGGAUACUAGGAAAAUUUAAUUAUAAAACUAGGAUUAGAUACCCUAUUAUAUUUAUGUAAAUUUUUUAUUCAGAAUAUGUAUUAGCUAAGUUCUUUAAAGCUCAAAAAAUUUGGCGGUAAGAUAUUUUUUUAGAGGAAUCUGUAGGUUAAUUGAUAAACCACGAUAGUUUACACCUUUAUUUUUUAUUUGUAUAUCGCUAUUAUAGUCGAAUGUUUUUUAAGGAUAUUUUCUUUAACUUUAUAAGAUUAACAUUAGGUCAAGGUGCAGUUUUUUUAAGGUUUCUAUGGAUUACUAUUAUAAUAAAUAUCAUAAAGAUGAAUAUUCUCAAUAGAUAUUUUGAAUGGGGAUUUAAUAGUAAUUUUAAUAAAUUUAUUAAUUUGAAUUUUACCCUAUUUUAUGUACAUAUCGCCCGUCACUCCUAAUUAAACUAGGAUAAGUCGUAACAAAGUAACUCCACCGGAAGGUGGAGUUAGAAUGAAAAAAUAAAA